AAAAGGGAAGCGCUUGUGACCAGACUUGCGUCCGGUGAAUCACCCAGCUCUCGCGGCUGGGGCACUUCGCCGGCACAGGCCAGCAUCAGCUUGCCGUCGGGGACAAAAGCUUCAGGAACGUAGCUCCUCUCGGGGAGUGUUAUAGCCUGUUGUAUAAUACCCUUCGGCGGGCUGAGGUACGCGCUCCGCAAGGAUGCUGGCNUAAU
This 206-nucleotide ribosomal RNA is filed under the name Colletotrichum acutatum. Its description in RNAcentral is "partial 28S ribosomal RNA". The record is from RNAcentral. Lineage: Eukaryota; Fungi; Ascomycota; Sordariomycetes; Glomerellales; Glomerellaceae.